GACGAACGCUGGCGGCGUGCUUAACACAUGCAAGUCGAACGAAGAGCGACGGACGCUUGCUUCUAUCACUCUUAGUGGCGGACGGGUGAGUAACGCGUAAUCAACCUUCCCUUCAGGGGGGGACAACAGUUGGAAACGACUGCUAAUACCGCAUACGCUCUAACCUCGGCAUCGAGGAUAGAUGUAAGGUGGCCUCUACAUGUAAGCUAUCACUUAAGGUGGUUAUUGCGGCUGAUGAGCUAGUUGGAGGGGUAACGGCCCACCAAGGCGAGGUUGAGUAGCAGGUAUGAGAGGAUGAACGGCCAGAUUGAGACGGAGACACGGCCCAUAGGGCUACGGGAGGCAGCAGGGGGGAAUCUGGCGGAAGGGAUGGGAGACUGAGCGCGAAACGCGGAGGGAGGGAGGACGGCCGUCGGGUGGUAAAGCUCGGUUAAUCGGGACGAAAGGCCUUCUUGCGAAGAGUGAGAAGGAUUGACGGUAACGGAAGAGAAAGCCACGGCUAACUACGUG
This 510-nucleotide ribosomal RNA is filed under the name uncultured bacterium. RNAcentral describes it as "partial 16S ribosomal RNA". It matches the Rfam family "Bacterial small subunit ribosomal RNA", at positions 28 to 507 of the family's 1533-position model. The record is from RNAcentral.